AUGCAUGUAUAAGUAUAAACGCUCUGAAGCGUGAAACCGCGAACGGCUCAUUACAACAGCUAUAAUUUACUUGAUCUUUUGACAUCCUACUUGGAUAACUGUGGUAAUUCUAGAGCUAAUACAUGCAGCAAAGCUCCAACCCGAAAGGGAAGAGCGCAUUUAUUAGAGCAAAACCAUGCGGCUUCGGCCGCUCAAUGUUGACUCAGAAUAACUAAGCUGAUCGCAUGGUCUUGUACCGGCGACGUGUCUUUCAGGUGUCUGCCUUAUCAACUUUCGAUGGUACUGUCAUUGACUACCAUGGUGGUGACGGGUAACGGAGGAUCAGGGUUCGACUCCGGAGAAGGGGCCUGAGAAAUGGCCACUACGUCUAAGGAUGGCAGCAGGCGCGCAAAUUACCCACUCUCAGAACAACUAGAGGAGGUAGUGACGAGAAAUAACGAGACCGUUCUCAACAGAGGCCGGUCAUCGGAAUGGGUACAAUUUAAACCCUUUAACGAGUAUCUAUGAGAGGGCAAGUCUGGUGCCAGCAGCCGCGGUAAUUCCAGCUUUCAAAAUGCAUAGAAUUAUUGCUGCGGUUAAAAAGCUCGUAGUUGGAUCUGUGCUAACAGGCUGGUCCAUCUUCGGAUGUGCACUAGUCCAUGUUGGCUUUUGUGCAGUUUUCGGCUCUGUGCCCCUCACGGGGUGCACUGUCCGUUGCUGCAAGUUUACUUUGAACAAAUCAGAGUGCUCUAAACAGGCGUUUCGCUUGAAUGUUCGUGCAUGGAAUAAUAGAAGAGGAUUUCGGUUCUAUUUUAUUGGUUUUAUAGACUGAGAUAAUGGUUAACAGAGACGAACGGGGGCAUUCGUAUUGCUACG
This 855-nucleotide ribosomal RNA is filed under the name Pratylenchus sp. CA72. Its description in RNAcentral is "SSU rRNA". It matches the Rfam family "Eukaryotic small subunit ribosomal RNA", at positions 51 to 904 of the family's 1831-position model. The record is from RNAcentral. Lineage: Eukaryota; Metazoa; Nematoda; Chromadorea; Rhabditida; Pratylenchidae.